This 374-nucleotide unclassified non-coding RNA is filed under the name Harpullia pendula. RNAcentral describes it as "partial external transcribed spacer". Lineage: Eukaryota; Viridiplantae; Streptophyta; Magnoliopsida; Sapindales; Sapindaceae. The record is from RNAcentral.
AUUCGAUGGAAUGGGUUUCCAGGCUCCUUGCUUGUGCAUCGAACUGUAAGCUCCCCGUCCUCUUCAUAGUUAUCCCCAAGCAUGUCGCGUGUCUUGUGGGUGCGUUUGGUAUCCUGUAUGGACUACCGAUGCAACGGUAUUCGAUUUUCUUGAUGCCUACAUUCGCCCGGCGCCUGUUAGGGUGUUGGCCGAACAAUAGGAAAGCCCCGUGCUCCAAGUGUGCAUUGCAAUUUUGCAUGGCUGCCGUGGCGCACGGGCUUGUGCCCGUUCUUUCGGAUGCUGAUCGUUAUGCGCGUUGACGGGGGGUUUCGAACUCUACUCGUCUGCUCUACGCACUUAUCCCUUGACACGAACGACUGCUGCACUUGUUUUGG